UUUGCUGGAAAAGAAAACAGCAGAAGCCAAGGUAAAUAACAUCUUUGUGUGGCGUGUUGCAGCUGUCACAGCCGCCAGCAGACAGCCGACUCCCUCACCAGUAAACACCGCGGCUUAGGUGUUGCCCACCGGGCACCGGAAGGCGGCCCCCUUCUCGCUCUCCAGUGAAUGUUCCUAAAACAACUGCGGGGUCCAAGAGCACAGGGAGAACAGCGCCCCUGACGCAGGCUGCGCACCCGCCCGGAGGAGGCAGCGUGUCAGUCCUGAGGUCACCGCCACCCGCUCCCGGGGGACGGCCGCCUGAGGCUGUGCGCUGGGCAGGUGAGGAGGCGACCACCUCCCAGACGCCUGCCGGAGCUGCGGCGCACCGACUCCCUGCUUCCCCGAGCGGCGAGCGCCACCUGGAGGCUCCCUCGAGAUCUGCAUUUAGGAGGCGACGGGUCCUUUCGUCGUUUUAUUCAUUAAACGUUUGUCGAGGCCUGGAGCGAUGGUUCAAGCCUGUAAUCCCAGCACUUUGGGAGACCGAGACGGGCGGAUCACUUGAGGUCAGGAGUUGGAGACCAGUUUGGCCAACAUGGCGAAACCCCAUCUCUACUAAAAAUACAAAAAUUAGCCGGGCACGGUGGCGCACACCUGUAAUCCCAGCUACUCAUGAUGAGGCUGAGGCACAAGAAUCGCUUGAACCCGAGAGGCGGAAGUUGCAGUGAGCGGAGAUGGAGCCACUGUGUGUUAGGCUCUGGUGACGUGGGGAGAAAUAAAGAUAAUGUCUUGUUUCC
RNAcentral lists this long non-coding RNA (776 nucleotides) under Pan troglodytes (chimpanzee). RNAcentral's name for it is "lincRNA". Lineage: Eukaryota; Metazoa; Chordata; Mammalia; Primates; Hominidae. The record is from RNAcentral.